CCCCCCCCUCUCCCUUCAGUGCCAGCUACUGUGCUUUAAGUGGUGCACUAAUUCAACCCUUUUGUUAGCCUUAUACAUCUCUCCAAUCUCUCCCUCUCUCAUUCCUGUCUUUCGAGUUAGCGCUGUGCAUCUAGGUUCAGUUGUUGUUUUAUGAAAACACUUAUAUACUCCACUGUCUGGGUGAAGAGGGUGAUAAUCAUGUUUAAUUGUGCUUUUUGUAUCCAGGCAACGUGAACAUUUCUGCAAUCAUUUGAUUGUUAACUGAUUUUUGCGGGCGGUAAUAGUCCAUUAGGGCAUGGUGGCGACUGCAGAGCAGGGGAGUCACGGGGAGAGAAGGUCACUCUCCUCCUCGUUUUCCAUCCUCAUUUUUAGCAAAGUCAUGAAUAAUUGAUGGAAAGCAUCUGAGUGGGCAAAUGUCAUGACAUUCCAGCCACAAGUGUGGGAACUACCCCAUGCCAGCUUAUAUGCCCGAGUCCUGGCUGGCUCAUGCCAGCGCGGCGGCGGCGGCGGUGCCUAUACGAAAGAGAGGAGAUGGGCAUCAAACGGGAGAGGAGCUUUUACAGAGAGAUUGGUUUCAGCUCUCCUGGUUCCCAUUUUCAAAAUGGAGGGAUGGUGUGCUAGGAGCUCAGAAACUGAAUAUGAGGCAGCAGCCCUUGGCGAAGUAAGUAAGUGGUUGGACUGUGUGCGGGGCGAAAGUUCAUUUACAAUUAAUGUUAACCUAUGUUUUCACUUUGUGACUUUGUCUAAAUAGAAGAGAUGAGUUCCAUUAUGUCAAAGUAAUAAUAAUGGUAAAUUAAAGUUUAUAUGAAGUAACUUGACUUCGUAUGACCACAUUACCCAGAAUUAUGUAUAGUACAGUACUUGCAUGUACAGCAUUGCUGUGCCCACUAUAUUGUUGUGCUUCUGUGGGCAUGAAAGCAUGUUCCAUACCUAUCAUUUGGAAGCAUUUUUUACCCUCCUCCUCUUUUUUUGUGACAAUUGAGUCCAGAUGCAUAGGAUUCCUCCUUUUUUUUUUUUCAUGCGGUCUGUUUCCUAAAAUAAAAAAAAAAUGCUUGCAUGUAAUGUCUGUGGCGGCAUUCUCGUGCCUCUGUGGCUGGGUUCGCUGGUGUGAGGGAGUCUGAGUCUUCAAAUAGCUAUGUGGCUGGCACAGUGGGCGUCCUUUAUGUCCCCCUUCUGUCCCAUUGAAUUUCAGAGCACAAACAAGUCCCUUCUUACCUCCCUCAGCCCCUCUCCAUUGGACUGCUAUGCCUGCAAGUAUUCAUCCUCUUCAAACACAUCUUUGGCAUGUAACUUCCAUCCUCCGUUUUGGAUUCAUCCUCACCAUGGCAUCACAUUUACUAUUUAAAUUUGAACAUCAGUCGUGAUUUUAAUCCCUGCUUCUAAUCACUCUCUGUAUCUAUCACCCCCCCCCCCCUCUCUCCUCCUUCCUUACUUUCUUUCAGAUGGAGUAGUGUGAGAGAUGAGGGUCUUUUCUUUCCGGCACUACAGAGGAAGGUCUGUGGGCUGAGAUUUCAUUUUGGAGGGUUGCAUGACUGAAAUGGGAAUGUGGUCAUUAUGAAGAGACCCCUACAGAAACAGUUCUACAGGAGAUGAAAAGAGGGAAUGAAUGGAGGAAGAGAGAGAUACCGUGGAAGAAGAGGACACUGACUGUCAUACAACACGAACCGCUGUAUUUGAGCGAAGAAAUUCAGUGGAUGCCUGGGUAUGGAUGUUCCAUUCUACGGGGCCGCCUGCGUACGAUCGAACGAGCGAGAGAGGAGAGGAGAGGAGAGGAGGGAGAGGGAAAGGAGGAACAAGGCGAAAGAGCACUUGCUCUGUUGCACCGAUUCACAACUGUGCGCAGGAUAUUGACCGUACAGCUGUUCUACUCGAACUCUCCCUCCCUCCCUCCCUCCCUCCCUCACUCACUCUCUCCCUCACUCUCUCCCUCCCUUCCCAUCCCUCUUUGCGCAUUUCUUUCACCCUGCUUCCUGUGCGUCUCCUCUGUUUUUCAUCUCUUUUUUUUUCUCCUGUAUCCUUCUCUCCCUGCUGGUCUCCGGUCUGUCUCUUUUUCCCCUUUAUUAGAACCUCCCUCUAGUCUGUCCUCAUCUGUGAUCCCCCACCCCUCCGUUCUCUCUCCCCUGCUAUGCCCUCUAGGAUGCACACACACACACACACACACACACACACACACACACACACACACACACACACACACACACACACACACAGACACACACACACACACACACACACACACACACACACACACACAGACACACACACACACACACACAGACACACACACACACACACACACACACACAC
Long non-coding RNA from Clupea harengus (Atlantic herring), 2307 nucleotides. The record is from Ensembl. Lineage: Eukaryota; Metazoa; Chordata; Actinopteri; Clupeiformes; Clupeidae.